AUGACAACAUCAGCUUGAAACACUGGUUCCUCUACGAUCACCGAAGUUAAGCAACGUCCAGCAUGGUCUGUACCUAGAUGUGCAACCGCUUGGGAAUACGACGUGAUGUAAG
This is a non-coding RNA of Acanthosepion pharaonis, 112 nucleotides long. Lineage: Eukaryota; Metazoa; Mollusca; Cephalopoda; Sepiida; Sepiidae. The record is from the annotation of a GenBank genome assembly.